GGCUUGAUAGUUCAGUGGCAGAAUUCAUGCUUUGGGUGUAUGAGGUCCUGGGUUUAUCCCCAGUCAAGCGU
Molecule: transfer RNA, 71 nt
Filed under: Phialocephala subalpina
Lineage: Eukaryota; Fungi; Ascomycota; Leotiomycetes; Helotiales; Mollisiaceae
Rfam family: tRNA
About the family: Transfer RNA (tRNA) molecules are approximately 80 nucleotides in length. Their secondary structure includes four short double-helical elements and three loops (D, anti-codon, and T loops). Further hydrogen bonds mediate the characteristic L-shaped molecular structure. tRNAs have two regions of fundamental functional importance: the anti-codon, which is responsible for specific mRNA codon recognition, and the 3' end, to which the tRNAs corresponding amino acid is attached (by aminoacyl-tRNA synthetases). tRNAs cope with the degeneracy of the genetic code in two manners: having more than one tRNA (with a specific anti-codon) for a particular amino acid; and 'wobble' base-pairing, i.e. permitting non-standard base-pairing at the 3rd anti-codon position.
Source: RNAcentral